This 233-nucleotide ribosomal RNA is filed under the name uncultured bacterium. RNAcentral describes it as "partial 16S ribosomal RNA". It matches the Rfam family "Bacterial small subunit ribosomal RNA", at positions 335 to 586 of the family's 1533-position model. The record is from RNAcentral.
UACCUACGGGACGCAGCAGUGGGGAAUAUUGCACAAUGGGGGAAACCCUGAUGCAGCGACGCCGCGUGAGUGAAGAAGUAUCUCGGUAUGUAAAGCUCUAUCAGCAGGAAAGAUAAUGACGGUACCUGACUAAGAAGCCCCGGCUAACUACGUGCCAGCAGCCGCGGUAAUACGUAGGGGGCAAGCGUUAUCCGGAUUUACUGGGUGUAAAGGGAGUGUAGGCGGGAAAGCAA